RNAcentral lists this ribosomal RNA (497 nucleotides) under uncultured bacterium. RNAcentral's name for it is "partial 16S ribosomal RNA". It matches the Rfam family "Bacterial small subunit ribosomal RNA", at positions 28 to 507 of the family's 1533-position model. The record is from RNAcentral.
GAUGAACGCUGGUGGCGUGCCUAAUACAUGCAAGUCGAGCGAACGGACGAGAAGCUUGCUUCUCUGAUGUUAGCGGCGGACGGGUGAGUAACACAUGGAUAACCUACCUAUAAGACUGGGAUAACUUCGGGAAACCGGAGCUAAUACCGGAUAAUAUUUUGAACCGCAUGGUUCAAAAGUGAAAGACGGUCUUGCUGUCACUUAUAGAUGGAUCCGCGCUGCAUUAGCUAGUUGGUAAGGUAACGGCUUACCAAGGCAACGAUGCAUAGCCGACCUGAGAGGGUGAUCGGCCACACUGGAACUGAGACACGGUCCAGACUCCUACGGGAGGCAGCAGUAGGGAAUCUUACGCAGUGGGCGAAAGCCUGACGGAGCAACGGCGCGUGAGUGAUGAAGGUCUUCGGAUCGUAAAGCUCUGUUAUUAGGGAAGAACAGAUGUGUAAGUAACUGUGCACAGCUUGACGGUACCUAAUCAGAAAGCCACGGCUAACUACGUG